UUGUAAUAAAAGAACCUAGCAUGGUAAGCCAAGACAUGAUAUAAAAUUACAUUGUUGCCCUCCGAACUUUCCUUUUCGUUUUUUCCUUGCAAGUGUUUGUGUUUGGGUAGUUUUGGUAUUUGACCUACAUGGUGAAAAGUCAAAUUUACCUUUUUAGUUGCGUACUGCUUGUUCUUAUAUGUUUGGGUAUUUUAGACUUUUUAAUUCCAAGUACAGGACUGCGUUGCGUAAUUUUUGGCCCAAUCUGGUCGCGUUUACCCCUGUUUUCCGGUUCUUUGUCGACAAGAAAAACGUACGGAGGAAAAAGAAAACUCAUGAGACUCUCAGCAUCAAAUCCCGCAAAUCCGGACUCUACCAGCGGCGCCGAAUAUAGUCUUCUCUCCGCUUUGCUUCUUUCACACGGUCUCUCUCUUUCUUCUUGCUCGCCACAUUUGCUUCCUCACACAGCCCUGGCCCAAGCUGAAGAUGACAAGCCCAAGUUGUGGGGAUUUUUUCAGUUAUGUUUGAAGUAGAAAAUUAUGCCUCAAAUAGACACAUGAGUCUCCAACCCCAAAUCGAACAUCAAUGCCAAUUUCGCCCAUGGUCAGGAUAACAAAAUUUAAAUUUCUCAGUUUCUUGUGGGAUCCAUUGUCAUGGGUCAUGGAAGCAGCAACAGCGAUGGCAAUUGUCAUUGGUAAUGGGAGAAAUGAGUUUAUUAGACCUAGGAUUUGGUUUAUAGAUAAUUUCUUUUUUCUUACUAGGGCAUUUGACUUUGUCUUGCUUAUUGCACAAUGCUAAGUACAUCUAAUUAGUAAUCUGUUCCCUUGCCAUGUUUCUGAUAUGUUAUCUGUCAUACUAUUGCAUGGGAUUUGUGCUUUGGAGGUGAUAUGUUCACAAAAGGUCCGGGUUAAAAUUUCAAACAUUUUGGUUGCUUUGUUUUGUUCUCAAAUCUGGUGUUGUACUCUUUGCCGUUUUUCAUAGUGUGUAUGGGUUGGGUUUAUACAGGAUUGUGAUUAUAAUAAGUAAAAUUUGUUGAAGAUUAAGCGGUAAUUUCGAAGAUGAAGAGGUCUAGAGAUGAUGUGUUCAUGGCUGCUCAACUUAAACGGCUCAUCGCCUAAUCUCACGCCGAUCCGAUCUCUGAGCAUCCUCAAAUGAUGUCUACAUUGGGCACUUAGAAACUAACAACAAACGACGUGUUCCUUGAUGUCAUGAAAGAUUUCAAGGCUCAAAGAAUUGACACUAUUGGUAAAAGAGAGGAGCUAUCUUUCGCUUUCAUAUGAAAACAAUCAUCAAAAGAAACUAUCAAAGCGGCUGUAUUCAUGCAGCAGUUUUUGGUCUACAGUCGAGGGGCUAUCGCUUCAAUUAAAGCUACUGCUUCGAUGCCGAAAACAUCAUAUAGGUGGAGGCUCUGGUAAUAUGUCUCUCUGGAUCCAUAACAAGAUAGGAAUUUUAAAAGGCAAUCUCCUUUUCUCCAUCUAUGUUAUGAGUAUUUUAUCACUUACUAUGUUCAACCUUGCUAUGCCAAAACAGUGAACAGAUCACCCCAUAUACUUUUUUCCUAUAUGUUUUUCUAUUUUAUGACCAUUGAAUGUACAUAGCCUAGGUCUCUUUGUUGUAGAUGAUUGGCUUGCCAAAUUCUGUACUUCAGCUGCUCAUAUUUCCUAUUAUUUAAGCAGAUAUUGAUUAUUUA
This is a long non-coding RNA of Rhododendron vialii, 1669 nucleotides long. RefSeq lists it as uncharacterized. The transcript is spliced from 6 exons. NCBI's taxonomy places the organism in Eukaryota, Viridiplantae, Streptophyta, Magnoliopsida, Ericales, Ericaceae. The record is from RefSeq and is a predicted model, not a curated record.